RNAcentral lists this ribosomal RNA (255 nucleotides) under uncultured bacterium. Its description in RNAcentral is "partial 16S ribosomal RNA". It matches the Rfam family "Bacterial small subunit ribosomal RNA", at positions 524 to 776 of the family's 1533-position model. The record is from RNAcentral.
UACGGAGGGGGCUAGCGUUGUUCGGAAUUACUGGGCGUAAAGGGUGCGUAGGCGGCUAUCCAAGUCAGACGUGAAAGGCCUGGGCUCAACCCGGGAACUGCGUUUGAGACUGGGUGGCUGGAGUCCGGGAGAGGUGAGCGGAAUUCCCAGUGUAGAGGUGAAAUUCGUAGAUAUUGGGAAGAACACCGGUGGCGAAGGCGGCUCACUGGACCGGUACUGACGCUGAGACGCGAAAAGCGUGGGGGAGCGAACAGG